RNAcentral lists this unclassified non-coding RNA (1696 nucleotides) under Hevea brasiliensis (rubber tree). Lineage: Eukaryota; Viridiplantae; Streptophyta; Magnoliopsida; Malpighiales; Euphorbiaceae. The record is from RNAcentral.
GAAGGGUAAGCCUUAAAGGUUUUAUGGGGUGCUUUUCUGCGUUUCUACUUCAAUUGUGCUAUGGUUGCUCUGCCUCUGCAAAAGCUCAAAUCCUUCUUAUCCAGGAAAAAAAGCCAAAAACUUCUCUCUUCUGGUAUUCUUUCUUCCUCUUUCUCUCAGCUCAAGUUAUAAUUUUCGUGCUCUUUCUUUUUCAAAAUGGAUUCUCAUCACAAUAACCAUCCACAGCCCAAUCAAACACAUUCUUUCACCAAGAAAUCAAGACCCUUUUCAUUUUACUUAUCUUCAAUAUUAAUUCUCUGUUUAGCCAUCUCAUAUAGUCUUACCAAAACCAACUACAUCAAAAUUCAAUACCUCAAGUCAAUCCUUUCAUCACACCCUUCCUCUUUUCAGAAAUUUUUAGGGUUUCUUAAUGGAUUGCAAAAACCGACCAAAGCCCUAAUAACAAAUCCCAUUGCUUUUCCCUCCCACUGUAUUCUAUGGAUGGCCCCGUUCCUUUCAGGUGGUGGGUAUAGCUCAGAAGCUUGGUCAUAUAUUUUAGCUCUUAAUGAACAUGCGAAAGAAUCAAUAUUUAGGUUAAAAAUUGAGCAACAUGGUGAUCUAGAAUCUUUAGAAUUCUGGGAGGGUUUGUCUGAUGAUGUUAAGAACUUGGCUUUUAAGCUUCACCAAACAGAUUGCAGAAUGAAUGAAACCAUUGUCUUGUGUCAUAGUGAGCCUGGUGCUUGGUACCCACCGUUGUUUGAAACCCUUCCUUGUCCACCAAUUGAUUAUCAAAAUUUUAUGUUUGUAAUUGGUAGAACCAUGUUUGAAACUGAUAGAGUGAAUAUUGAACAUGUUAGGCGGUGUAAUCGCAUGGACAGUGUUUGGGUUCCUACUGAAUUUCAUGUUUCCACAUUUAUAGAGAGUGGGGUUGAUCCAUCCACGGUUGUGAAAGUUGUUCAGCCUAUUGAUGUCGAGAUCUUUGAUCCGCUUAAGCAUAAACCAUUGAAUCUUGCAUCAAUAGGGAAUCUGGUUUUAGGAACAAGAAACAUGGAUUCUAAUUCCAAGGAAUUUGUUUUUUUGAGUGUGUUUAAGUGGGAGUAUAGGAAAGGGUGGGAUGUGUUACUGAAAUCCUACUUGACUGAAUUUUCUGGGAUUGAUGGGAUUUCUUUGUAUUUAUUAACAAAUCCAUACCAUUCCGACAGUGAUUUUGGGAACAAGAUUUUGGAGUUUGUGGAGGAUUCUGGUAUAGAAAAACCAGAAAAUGACUGGGCUGCCAUUUAUGUGAUUGAUACCCACAUAGCUCAAAUUGAUUUGCCGAGAUUGUAUAAGGCAGCCAAUGCAUUUAUUCUUCCAUCAAGAGGGGAAGGAUGGGGGAGGCCUAUUGUCGAAGCCAUGUCCAUGUCUUUGCCAGUUAUUGCAACUAAUUGGUCUGGACCAAUGGAGUAUCUGACCGAUCAUAAUAGCUAUCCUUUACCGGUGGAUGGAAUGAGUAAAGUUAUGGAAGGACCGUUCAGGGGGCAUCUCUGGGCUGAACCUUCUAUUGAUAAGCUUCAACAUCUAAUGAGGCAUGUCAUGACCAAUGUUGAGGAAGCUAAGACCAGAGGGAGGCAUGCAAGAGAAGACAUGGUUAGAAAGUUUUCUCCUGAGGUUGUUGCAGGGAUUGUCAAUAACCAAUUACAAAAUGUACUUGAUAAGAUUAUUUGAAAGUUCAUAUAUA